AGACCCGAAACCCGGUGAUCUAGCCAUGGGCAGGUUGAAGGUUGGGUAACACUAACUGGAGGACCGAACCGACUAAUGUUGAAAAAUUAGCGGAUGACCUGUGGCUGGGGGUGAAAGGCCAAUCAAACCGGGAGAUAGCUGGUUCUCCCCGAAAGCUAUUUAGGUAGCGCCUCGUGAAUUCAUCUCCGGGGGUAGAGCACUGUUUCGGCUAGGGGGCCAUCCCGGCUUACCAACCCGAUGCAAACUGCGAAUACCGGAGAAUGUUAUCACGGGAGACACACGGCGGGUGCUAACGUCCGUCGUGAAGAGGGAAACAACCCAGACCGCCAGCUAAGGUCCCAAAGUCAUGGUUAAGUGGGAAACGAUGUGGGAAGGCCCAGACAGCCAGGAUGUUGGCUUAGAAGCAGCCAUCAUUUAAAGAAAGCGUAAUAGCUCACUGGUCGAGUCGGCCUGCGCGGAAGAUGUAACGGGGCUAAACCAUGCACCGAAGCUGCGGCAGCGAACGUAUCACCCAAGACAACUUUGCGGAGUUGACGAUUGACGGAGCGAAGCGACGUCAAAGCGUUCAUUAAAGUCGAGUUGGCUUAGGGAUACGUUCGUUGGGUAGGGGAGCGUUCUGUAAGCCUGUGAAGGUGGCCUGUGAGGGUUGCUGGAGGUAUCAGAAGUGCGAAUGCUGACAUAAGUAACGAUAAAGCGGGUGAAAAGCCCGCUCGCCGGAAGACCAAGG
RNAcentral lists this ribosomal RNA (727 nucleotides) under Salmonella enterica subsp. enterica serovar Hadar. Its description in RNAcentral is "partial 23S ribosomal RNA". It matches the Rfam family "Bacterial large subunit ribosomal RNA", at positions 711 to 1350 of the family's 2925-position model. Lineage: Bacteria; Pseudomonadati; Pseudomonadota; Gammaproteobacteria; Enterobacterales; Enterobacteriaceae. The record is from RNAcentral.